Molecule: ribosomal RNA, 253 nt
Filed under: uncultured bacterium
Lineage: Bacteria
Description: partial 16S ribosomal RNA
Rfam family: Bacterial small subunit ribosomal RNA
Source: RNAcentral
UACGUAGGGUCCGAGCGUUGUCCGGAAUUAUUGGGCGUAAAGGGCUCGUAGGCGGUUCGUCACGUCGGGAGUGAAAACUCGGAGCUUAACCCCGGGUCUGCAUUCGAUACGGGCAGGCUAGAGUGUGGUAGGGGAGAUCGGAAUUCCUGGUGUAGCGGUGAAAUGCGCAGAUAUCAGGAGGAACACCGGUGGCGAAGGCGGAUCUCUGGGCCAUUACUGACGCUGAGGAGCGAAAGCGUGGGGAGCGAACAGG